RNAcentral lists this unclassified non-coding RNA (278 nucleotides) under Hevea brasiliensis (rubber tree). The record is from RNAcentral. Lineage: Eukaryota; Viridiplantae; Streptophyta; Magnoliopsida; Malpighiales; Euphorbiaceae.
AUCAACACCCUCAUCAUCACCACCACCCUCAGCAGAUGGGUUGGCACCAAUGUCCACAUCAAUAGCUCCUUGAACGACCCACUUGCCAUCGACUUCCCAGAGGAUGCCGUUCUCGAUCUCUCUGUAGGGGAACGAAUCCGACAGGAGCUCGUCACCGGUAAGCAGAUCCUGGUAGACCAACAUGGUGCCGCCUCUUCAAAUCUCUCCCCCCGAAUUAAAAAAAAAAUUCGGCAGCGGAAACCCUAGAGCUCUCUCGGCGAGGGGGGAGUAGCGGCGCG